AUACGUAGGUGACAAGCGUUAUCCGGAUUUACUGGGCGUAAAGGGCGUGUAGGCGGUCUUGCAAGUCAGAAGUGAAAUUCCUGAGCUCAACUCGGGCGCUGCUUCUGAAACUGCAGGACUUGAGUGCUGGAGGGGAUAGCGGAAUUCCUAGUGGAGCGGUAAAAUGCGCAGAUAUUAGGAAGAACACCGGUGGCGAAGGCGGCUAUCUGGACAGUAACUGACGCUGAGGCGCGAAAGCGUGGGGAUCAAACAGGAUUAGAUACCCUGGUAGUCCACACUGUAAACGAUGAAUGCUAGGUGUAGGGGGUAUCGACCCCUUCUGUGCCGCAGUCAACACAAUAAGCAUUCCGCCUGGGGAGUACGGCCGCAAGGUUGAAACUCAAAUGAAUUGGCGGGG
Molecule: ribosomal RNA, 397 nt
Filed under: uncultured bacterium
Lineage: Bacteria
Description: partial 16S ribosomal RNA
Rfam family: Bacterial small subunit ribosomal RNA
Source: RNAcentral